This 491-nucleotide ribosomal RNA is filed under the name uncultured bacterium. Its description in RNAcentral is "bacterial SSU rRNA". It matches the Rfam family "Bacterial small subunit ribosomal RNA", at positions 29 to 517 of the family's 1533-position model. The record is from RNAcentral.
AAUGAACGCUGGCGGCGUGCUUAACACAUGCAAGUCGAGCGAGAAAAUCCCUUCGGGGAUGAGUAAAGCGGCGGACGGGUGAGUAACACGUGAGGACCUGCCCUAGAGUGAAGGAUACCCUUGAGAAAUUGAGGUUAAUACUGCAUACGUCCCUUCGGGGAGAAAGAUGGCUUUUAUGCUGUCGCUUUAGGAUGGACUCGCGGGCUAUUAGCUAGUUGGUGGGGUAAAGGCCUACCAAGGCGAUGAUGGCUAGCCGGCCUGAGAGGGUGAACGGCCACACUGGAACUGAGAUACGGUCCAGACUCCUACGGGAGGCAGCAGUGAGGAAUAUUGCGCAAUGGGCGAAAGCCUGACGCAGCGACGCCGCGUGGGGGAUGAAGGUCUUAGGAUUGUAAACUCCUGUUAAGUGAGAAGAAAGGCCCAUCUCUAAUAAAGAUGGGAGAUGACGUUAUCACUAGAGAAAGCACCGGCUAACUUCGUGCCAGCAGCCG